RNAcentral lists this ribosomal RNA (492 nucleotides) under uncultured bacterium. RNAcentral describes it as "partial 16S ribosomal RNA". It matches the Rfam family "Bacterial small subunit ribosomal RNA", at positions 29 to 507 of the family's 1533-position model. The record is from RNAcentral.
AGUGAACGCUGGCGGUAGGCCUAACACAUGCAAGUCGAACGGCAGCACAGUAAGAGCUUGCUCUUACGGGUGGCGAGUGGCGGACGGGUGAGGAAUACAUCGGAAUCUACUUUUUCGUGGGGGAUAACGUAGGGAAACUUACGCUAAUACCGCAUACGACCUACGGGUGAAAGCAGGGGAUCUUCGGACCUUGCGCGAUUGAAUGAGCCGAUGUCGGAUUAGCUAGUUGGCGGGGUAAAGGCCCACCAAGGCGACGAUCCGUAGCCGGUCUGAGAGGAUGAUCAGCCACACUGGAACUGAGACACGGUCCAGACUCCUACGGGAGGCAGCAGUGGGGAAUAUUGGACAAUGGGCGCAAGCCUGAUCCAGCCAUACCGCGUGGGUGAAGAAGGCCCUCGGGUUGUAAAGCCCUUUUGUUGGGAAAGAAAAGCAGCAGGUUAAUACCCCGCUGUUCUGACGGUACCCAAAGAAUAAGCACCGGCUAACUUCGUG